RNAcentral lists this ribosomal RNA (2201 nucleotides) under Triticum aestivum (bread wheat). RNAcentral's name for it is "partial small subunit ribosomal RNA". Lineage: Eukaryota; Viridiplantae; Streptophyta; Magnoliopsida; Poales; Poaceae. The record is from RNAcentral.
GUCGUUUUAUCAGGCGCGGUUAGCAAACCCGGUCGCUUUAAAUCGAUCGCGCGCCCCGAUUUUUCUCCGAAGCGCGGUUGGUCCGGGUUUUUAGGAGGUUGGUCUGAAAGAGGGAAUGGGGAUGGUCGGUGGUGUGUAAUUGGGAUAGGGGUGGGUGCGCAACAAAGGCCGCUGCCGCGGCGGCAAGAGAACGAGAGAAGAAGCGUGUGGCGGCAGGCGAGGCGCCGGCAAGGUAGAGGACGAGUGGACGGAGUGGAAUAGGGGAGGAGGAGGGUGAGAGAGAAGGAAAUACGCGAGGGCACGAGGAUCACGGAGGAAGCCCCAGGGCGUCGGUCUACGCCGGCGGAUCCCAAGCGACGCCGGCCUCUACCGAUGGUACCUCCAGCGGGGGAAGUCUAGAUCGCCGGGUCAGGAGAUGGUCCACGGCAUCAGUUCCUCCUGUCUCGCGGUAGUGGUCCGACCACGUCCCACUCGAGACCGGGAGGAUGGCUGGCCACACAUGGAACGAGAACCCCAUCGUGGCUCGCUGCCGCCGUUGAUGUUCUACGUCGUCUUCGCCGCCUACCGGUUCUUAGAUCCGGAGGCUGGUAACCGCCAACAACAACACCGUCUUCUCAGCCAUGUCACAAGCGCGGAGGCGGGACAAGUCGGAACGGAGGUAGUUGAAACCUUGAGGGCCAUUCGUAUAAGUAUUAGGACAGAAGUAGCACUAACACAUUUUUCGACCUAUACCUACUUCUGCUUCUGGUUCCCGUCUAAAGCAUAUAGACAAUCGAAAUGUAGACAAAAGACAUCAAAUAAAAACGGUGCACUUCGUCCUACUCAAAUCUAAACAAGUACUUUAACCAACAUUAUCUCUAUCCUGACAUUACGGGUCUACGUAAAAGUUCACCUAUGGAUAACGGAUUUGAUGUUCUUGUGAUUCUCUUCCAGUGACUUAGGUUAAAAUAAAAUUUAAUUCGCCCGUUCACCGCCCUUAGCUUGGGCAUCACGAUCGUCAAAAAAAACAAAACAAAACAAAACGUCGUGAACGAAAUUAACUUCCAAACGUAGUAUUUAUCCUGUUCUCUCUAGGUACUAGUGUAAACGCUACAGACUUCGGAUUUCGAUUGUGAUUUGCUUGGCCAAGUUCAAGGUCGUCCUUAUUCAUAUUAAAAACGUGCUAAUACAAAAUGAUCUGGAUUAUCACAUUAAACAAAGUCGACAAAUCAGAAGUCCGACAUGUAAUCCGGUUGUCCGGUUAUGACGAAAAAUAUCAAUCCCAACAAUAAUAUACCUUUUGUGUAUGACCAAGCCACGAUGUCAAACAGGUAAAGUCCAGUUGUUAAAGAUUCGAAGGUGUAAAAUGCACUGAGGUAAAAAUACGUCCACUACUCGACCUCGAGGGUUUAUCUGUGGCACGAAGUAUUAGUCGAGGUUUAAGAGUUAGGACAUCGCGAUUGUAAUAAACCAUUUUGUUACCUUUAUGCAAAGUGUUUUUAUCGCCAUGUACUAUUUUUGGUAUAGGUAUACUACUAUGUUUUUCGCCGUGGAUUUAGUUCACGUAUGGUAAGAAUUAGGACAGAGGUCCAUGAAAUUAAAGGUUCUUUCAGACCGGGAGUUGUUGGAAUAAUAGAAUCACUAAGGACUAGAAGGUAGUUUCUUAUAGUUAAGUAACGUUUAUGUUGUGGUAAUAAUAGUUAAAGAAAAGUAACGAUAGUUCAUGAUGGAGGCAUGGUUUUAUAUUCUACAAAAACAUCCGAUUUGAUCGGAUGUUUUUACAGAAUAUAAAACUAUACCUCCAUUAUUGAAAAACUGGUAUUAGGUUUAGCUUUGGUAGUUUUAGCAAACUAAAUAUCCCAAGAAGGAGGACCGUCGCCGCGUUAAACAACCGAGCGAGUAGUCGACACUAUGGGGUACAGGGGACAGGCGUGGACGACCUUCGUUUAUAUUCCUGACCUGAGUCUUACUUGGUACUUCGGUCGCCAGGUGCAGUUGAUCUACAGACUCGAAAGUAAAACAUGUUGACUAACGAGCAUGAACGUAGAAAAUAGACAGGAAGACACUUGGACUACAUACCACCGAACCACCAAUACAAAUCUUGUCUGACUUCACAUACAUACACUACUAAUCAAUUACUUUAUUUUUUACAAACCACGUGGACUUUAUACCACAGAACCACUAAUACGAAUCUUACGUACUUAAUGUACAUACGCUGGCGG